This 365-nucleotide long non-coding RNA is filed under the name Monodelphis domestica (gray short-tailed opossum). RNAcentral describes it as "lncRNA (ENSMODG00000036509.1)". Lineage: Eukaryota; Metazoa; Chordata; Mammalia; Didelphimorphia; Didelphidae. The record is from RNAcentral.
AUGACCAAAAUUCUUUGUGCACUUGCUCCCGUGCCUUUAAAAUCAAAAUUAGGUCUGGGGUGGAGGGAGGCAUAUUGUGAAAUGUGGGAUAAAAAACCAAAAAAAAAUGUCAACACAGAUUUGUUUGGAGAAAAAAUUGAGACUAACACCAUGCCUUUUUCACAGGGUGACUGUGGAUGCGCCCAGACCUUUUCUGAAGAGAGCAAAGACCUCUUCAUCUGGGUCUGGAGAAAGAAGAUUCCUGCUGCUCAACAACUGCUGCUUCAGACCUCUGCAGCACUUGCUUGAGUACAACUCCCUGUGAGGAAGCCCAGGCCUCUGAAUUGAAUAACCAACUGAUAAUGUUCCCUCGGCGCCCAAGUGGA